GCCAUGGGAGCCGGGGGUGGCUUGAAGUGCGUCGCCGCAAGGCGCGCCCUAGAGCAAAACCGGUGACUGGGGCUAAGUCGUAACAAGGUACC
RNAcentral lists this ribosomal RNA (92 nucleotides) under uncultured bacterium. RNAcentral's name for it is "partial 16S ribosomal RNA". The record is from RNAcentral.